This 468-nucleotide ribosomal RNA is filed under the name uncultured bacterium. RNAcentral's name for it is "partial 16S ribosomal RNA". It matches the Rfam family "Bacterial small subunit ribosomal RNA", at positions 28 to 507 of the family's 1533-position model. The record is from RNAcentral.
GACGAACGCUGGCGGCGUGCUUAACACAUGCAAGUCGAACGGAAAGGCCCGGCUUUUGUUGGGGGCUCGAGGGGCGAACGGGGGAGUAACACGAGAGUAACCUGCCCUUGACUUUGGGAUAACUUCAGGAAACUGGGGCUAAUACCGCAUAUGAGCUCCUGCUGCAUAGGGUGGUUUGGAAAGUUUCGGCGGUUGGGGAUGGACUCGCGGCUUAUCAGCUUGUUGGUGGGGUAGUGGCUUACCAAGGCUUUGACGGGUAGCCGGCCUGAGAGGGUGACCGGCCACAUUGGGACUGAGAUACGGCCCAGACUCCUACGGGAGGCAGCAGUGGGGAAUAUUGCACAAUGGGCGGAAGCCUGAUGCAGCAACGCCGGGUGCGGGAUGAUGGACUUCGGGUUGUAAACAGCUUUCGACUGUGACGAAGCGUGAGUGACGGUAAUGGGUAAAGAAGCACCGGCUAACUACGUG